Molecule: non-coding RNA, 72 nt
Organism: Phrynosoma platyrhinos (Desert horned lizard)
Lineage: Eukaryota; Metazoa; Chordata; Lepidosauria; Squamata; Phrynosomatidae
Source: the annotation of a GenBank genome assembly
GCCAAAGUGGUGUAGUGGUUUGUGUGUUGGACUAUGACUCUGGAGACCAGGAUUCGAAUCCGUGCUUGGCCA